Molecule: long non-coding RNA, 528 nt
Organism: Homo sapiens (human)
Lineage: Eukaryota; Metazoa; Chordata; Mammalia; Primates; Hominidae
Source: Ensembl
AGCUCUACAAGAACUUCUAGUGCUCUGGGCAGCUGCGAGGGGUCAAGAAACCACAUCCCCAAAUCCAGCGGAGUCUCGAUCUGUUGCCCAGGCUGGAGUACAGUGGUCCAAUCUCAGCUCACUGCAACCUCUGCCCCUCGGGUUCAAGCAAUUCUCCUGCCUCAGCUUCCCGAGUAGCUGGGAUUACAGGAAAACAAUUGUUUCAUGUAAGACGCUGAGCGCAAGCAAGUUGGGCAUUCUGUUCAGGCAUUUGUUCAUCAUUCAUUCACUUACUCAUUCAACAAAUGUCUACGGAACUACUUUGUGCAGUUUGGGAUUAGAGAUGUGAAUAAUGCAGGCGACGAAACAAGUUUGCUGAGAGUCAUGGUGUGCCCAGCACCACAUUUUGGUUCAUCAUGGUUCAGAAAAGUUUGUCUUCUCUUGGCACACCCAGCUUUGACGGUGCACAUGAAUAGGAUACAGAGGUGCAGGCAGAGGCCAGGCCAGCCCGAGUCAAAGCUUAGGAACAGAGGAUGAAGACUGUUGCAA